UACGUAGGGUGCGAGCGUUGUCCGGAAUUAUUGGGCGUAAAGAGCUUGUAGGCGGUCUGUCGCGUCUGCUGUGAAAAUCCGGGGUUCAACCCCGGACUUGCAGUGGGUACGGGCAGACUAGAGUUCGGUAGGGGAGACUGGAAUUCCUGGUGUAGCGGUGAAAUGCGCAGAUAUCAGGAGGAACACCGGUGGCGAAGGCGGGUCUCUGGGCCGAAACUGACGCUGAGGAGCGAAAGCGUGGGGAGCGAACAGG
Molecule: ribosomal RNA, 253 nt
Filed under: uncultured bacterium
Lineage: Bacteria
Description: partial 16S ribosomal RNA
Rfam family: Bacterial small subunit ribosomal RNA
Source: RNAcentral